UUGAACAAUUAUCACUUUUAAUAGAUUUUGGGGGACCAACUGAUUGAUUCCAAACAAAGAGAGUCAUACUUAACGCGAAAGCUCCUUCUUGAGCCAACACACAACAUAACCGUUAACCACUGCUCACGCCACCACCGGAAUAUUCUUCUCCGCCGCAUACCACCACCAUCAGUGUUUUCAGUUAAUUUGAUGGAUACCAUUAAUCAAGGUGCUGAACUGAAUAUGGAUCCUAGUGAUUGGAGAGGUCAAUUUCCAGCUGAAUCACGCCAAAGAAUUGUCAACAAAAUCUUGGAGACAUUAAAAAGCCAUCUUCUUGUUUCUGGUGAAGAGGGAUUGCAUGAACUUUGGAAGAUUGCCUGACGGUUUGAAGACAAGAUUUUUACUUCUGCAACAAGCCAAGUACAUCUCUAAUUAGAUGCCUCGUGAUUAUUGAUUUAUAGAUGCCUCGUGAUUGCAUGAAUAUGGAAGAUUGACAAUUUAUUGUGGCAUUCCCUAAUUUCAGUCUGAUUAUCUACAGAAAAUAUCUUCGAAGAUGCUUACAAUGGAGACUAGAUCCCAGGUCCAAAACCCUGUAGCCAACAAUUUACCAUCAAAUCAAGUUGGCCCUAGCAAUGAACCUCCUAACCCAGAACACUCACCAGACAGCACUUAAUGCUGAUUUGAUAAACUGAUUCCUCCAAAUUCUUGUGAAGUUGCUCUGAAGUGUGAUUAUGUAGUUUUGAACUGUGAUCUGAAUGCUGCUUGUGGAGGUCUUAUACAAGAUGAUCAAGGACACUUUGUUUUCCAUUAUGCUAAUAAGCUUGGAUCUUGCUCAGUUUUGCAAGCAGAACUGUGGGGGAUUUGACAUGGUCUCAGCAUAGAUUGGAAUAGAGGCUACAGUAAGAUUAGAGUUUACUACGACUCUAGGCUUGUUAUUCGAUUGCUUAAAGACAGUUGUCUUAAUACUCAUUUAUGUUAUUGACUCAGUUGUCCGGAUUCAUCGGUAUUAUGGAGAUAUUCAGUGGAUCCAUGUUUUGCUAGAGUCUAACCAGGGUUUUUAUUAGAUGCACUUGGGAUUUUUGAGUUUCUUCCUACCUUUAUUUCAAAAAUGUUUUAUUAGCAAACACUGCUUGUAUUUCAUUUCCUAAAUAUUUUUAUGCUUUUGUUUUUGGAGCCUA
Molecule: long non-coding RNA, 1157 nt
Organism: Medicago truncatula (barrel medic)
Lineage: Eukaryota; Viridiplantae; Streptophyta; Magnoliopsida; Fabales; Fabaceae
Exons: 4
Source: RefSeq, a predicted model, not a curated record